CUAAUUGCAGUUCAAUAUUCAGAUCAACUGGAUGAUAAAUACUCUCAGGUCUAAUUAUUUAUAGAUAGUCCACCUUUCUGAUAGAUCCAACACAGGAAAUAAAAAGACAAAAUGUGGAAGAAACUGGUUGGUCAAAGAGGGUUUAAGCUUGUCAUGGAGAAAGCCAGAGCUUAUUAUAAGGUAGAUCCAAGCACACAGGCAAAUCUCAGAUCAGAAGGGAGGGCCGCCUCCAGGAGGGCCGUAAGGUCCGCGAGGUCCACCGAAGCAGUCUUGUAGCAACCAGCAACAGCAGAGGCAGUAGAAGCUGCAUAUAUCAAAAAGGAAAAACAUGUGAUUUGAAAAGCACUGGAUUAAUUAACCAUUUUGAGAAGAAUCUUUACUUUAUGCCCUUCAACGAAUUCACAUGACUAAGAAUCAGUUAAAUACAGAAGAUAAAAAGAAAAAAAGUCCAACAUUAUCAUACUCUAGUCUGGAAAUGGAUCAUACCAAGAAGAUAUCAUGUUGCAUAUACCAUUUGCAAACCCACCAAAGAAUCCACCGGGGCCAAAACCAGGUCCUCCGGGGCCAAAACCAGGGCCUCCGGGGCCAAAACCAGGGCCUCCAGGGCCAAAACCAGGGCCUCCGGGGCCAAAACCAGGGCCUCCGGGGCCAAAACCAGGUCCUCCAGGGCCAGGGCCCCAACCCCCAGGACCACCUGGUCCACCAGGUCCACCAGGUCCCAUCACAGUGCUCUACCCUGUGGAACUGAAGCAGAUACCACACACACGAAGAGGAAGAGCCAGAAAGAUAUUUCAGAGUCUGGAUCCAAUAUGAUAUUUGUGUAAGGAAGCCUAAGGAUCUAGAAUUUUUCCCCGCAUAUAAAGAAUAAAGUUCAUG
This 876-nucleotide long non-coding RNA is filed under the name Vitis vinifera (wine grape). RNAcentral's name for it is "long non-coding RNA (VVIN_LNC002032)". Lineage: Eukaryota; Viridiplantae; Streptophyta; Magnoliopsida; Vitales; Vitaceae. The record is from RNAcentral.